Sus scrofa (pig) is the source of this 5402-nucleotide non-coding RNA. The record is from RefSeq and is a predicted model, not a curated record. Lineage: Eukaryota; Metazoa; Chordata; Mammalia; Artiodactyla; Suidae.
UCAUGGCAACACCGGAUCCUCAACCCUCUGAGCAAGGCCAGGGAUCAAACCCACACCUCAUGGUUCCUAGUCUAUUCGUUAACCACUGAACCACGACGGGAACUCCCAGAAUGCCCCUUCAUUACUGCUUUACAUCAAGCAGCUCGACAGCCUAUACAUUCUCCUCCUGUAGACGAAUUGCACAGGUCCGAUCAUAAUGAGAUGGCUUGUAGCAGGGAACCCCGGGAUGGGGGGUCUGCUUCUGGAAUCCUAAGUCACGUAAAAGGUCUGGGCCAAGCUUGCCGUGUCCAGCCUUGUGAUGAGCAGUCUUCCCUGCCCCCCACCCAGUUCGUGGGCCAGGGCACCUUCGGUCCUAGAGAGUGCUUCUGCAGGUCAGUUAUUUUAUGCUCUGUAAAGUGUCUCGGACCAAAGUCUCCUUCUCGAGGACAAGUGAUACCACAGUUCCUGAAGCCACUCACUUCUGGAGGUGAGGCUGGAUGUGACCUGUAAGUUUCAUUUUUGUUUCAUCCGUCUCCUCUGUUGAAGGCGGAGGCUCAUCACCAUUGAGGUUUUUCACCCUUUAGCACCGAAGAACUUAACAAGUGCAGGGCAUUGUUUGAUAAUAAGGCAGAAGGGUCAUAAAGUUUUAGUCAAAGUAUGUGCCUAGAAAUAACUGGCUGUACCAGGGCUUCCGUCUUAAAAUCCUCAGGGAGGAACCUGGCAUUUGCUCCACGUAAAAAUGUAUUCAGGAGUGUCCCUGUUGUGAUGCAACGGGAUUGGCACGGUGUCUGCAGCACCAGGAUGCAGCUUCGAGCCUCAGCCCAGCACAGCGGAUCAAAGGAUCUGGCAUUGCUGAAGCUGCAACUUGCGUCUGAUCCUUGGCCUGGGAACUCCAUUUGCCAUGGACUCGCCAAAAAUGAAAAAAAUAACGUGUUCAGGGGUUCACCCGAGGGAGUGCUUGGAUGGGAGCAAGGUGGAAGCUGUGUUACAGGAUGAAACGUGGCACAAGUGAGCGCAGCGGUGAGACGGGGAAGGUGAUUGAGCGAUUCUCUGCCUGAGACACGGCCCUCAGCCGCUGGUCCUUAGCUGGGCCUCCUUUAAAGGCAGACCCCUCCCGCCGGGAGUCCCCAGGGGGCCACCAGUACCACACAGCAGAUGGGGGCGGGGGCUGGAAAGGAGGUCACCCAUCGAUAAGAAAACGGCACCCACGGAGGUCGGGUAACCCACCCACGGUCACACAGCCGCAGACGGCCGGCGGUGGCCUUUGCCCCUUUUCCAGCACCGUGCUAGGGGGCCUGAGGACCCUCUAGGAGAAGUGGCCUUUCGUGGAGGUGAAAGGGAAGACCCCUGCUAGUGCUCUUGUCUUUCCAGAAACCUCUGCAAGAGCCUAAGGCCUGCAUUCCUCCCUGGGUUGUCCUUCCACGGAACACAGCAUCUCGGGAGAUCCUCGGCUCUCUGUGGGUCCUCGCGAGCCCUCCUCUCUGAUUGCAGGGCUUUAGGGUCAUGCUUUAUGUUAUAAAAUUUGGCUCUGUCUUGUCCCCUUUCCUCUCCUGUUGGCUUCCUUGACUCAGUGGGAUCCUGCCAGAGGAAAGAUUUUAAUUGAUGAUGCAUGAAAAGGUAAUGAGAGGAAAUAUAAAAGAAAGAAGAAUUCCUUUUUAGUUAGGCUUGGUGUGUCACCUGCGAGUUUUAAUGAACUAUAUUUAUUUUUAUAAACAUGCCUGGGAAGCUAAGUGUAUUAGUCACCCACUUAGACUUUUUCAUUAAAUCGUGACACGUUUGAAGAGGAAGAGUGGGUUUUUUUUUGUUUUUUUUGUUUUUCAAGUUAUUUCAUAGGGGAAGCAUUGUGGAGUCGAACUUUCUGGAGUAUUAUUUCCCAACAUCAAGAAAUAGAAGAAGAUGAUAUGUUUUAUGAAUGGAGGCGAUGGGACUAGGAGUGUGCUUUUGAAAGUGGGAAGGAGCCUAUCCUGAUGGAGAUUUUCCAAAGCACGUGUGAGGAGCAUGUGAUCAAAGACUCGAGAAUAUUCUUGACUUUCAUCAUUGAUUAGAAAGUAACCGAAGUGUACAGGAUGUCUAAGAAAUCCUCCCGUGGCCAGUUGUCGUUUGGGUGAUGAGUGAAUGGGACCAGAGUCGUAGGUUUAGUCCCGGGUAAGUUCACUUUGCUCUCUUAUCGCAGACACAGGAAGCACCUUCCACAGAGCCACUCUUUUUUCUGCGUGUUUAACAUGACCCCUAGGAAAAGGUGUAUAAGAAUAAAUGAGUGCAUCCCAUCCCUCUUUUACAGAAACAGGAAACAAAGCAGAUGUGCCUGGGAUGGGGACAGUUUCCGCAGUGUCCGUCAUCUUUGUGUAAGGGGGUCACUGAGCCCCGAUUUCCUUUUGCCCUCUUCCUCUCGCAGAGAAGGGUCGUGGAGAGCAGAAAUCUGUGCCAUUUUCUUACCGUUGCACAUUUGAAGAAAUCACCAAGGCAUACUGCUCCACAGUUCAGAAAAUCACACAGCAUGUGUAAAAGUGGACCUGGUCUGGGUUGAAAGCUCAGAGCAAGAGAAACACCAAAUGCAAGAGUCCGAACAGGGGACUUCACAACAACAGUCCCGUCUCUUUAUGCAGGGAGACAAUGUAUCAUUUGCUCAGCAGAAAACUGGAUGACACAACAGUCACUCUUUUCUUCCAGUGCUGGAAAUGCAGGUGCACCAUGAGGCCAUUUUGCGGCUCUUUCUCCCUCUUUAGGUGUGUUUGUCCAUGCAGAGAAAGGAGAGUCAUGCAGAACCAUUAUUACAUGGGCUGAAAGUGAACCAGAACUUUAAAAAGGUACCAGAAGUUCCCUUAUCUUACUGCUGCAUGGAUUUUAUUCUUUAAAUUUAUUGCACAAAUAAUCCAUGCUCAGUCAAAGUACAGACUGAAAGAAGAACAGAAAGAGUAUCCAUAAUUUAUAAAUUUAUCCUUCCAGAGAAAAUCACUGGUAAUGCUUUGGCAUAUGUCCUUUUGAAUCUUUCCUGUGCAUUUAUUUGUGUAUUACUUUCCUGGAAAAUGGGAUCCAUCUGAGGUUUACAUUAAAUUUUUAAAGGUUGCAAUCAGGGAAGGAAUAACAGCUUGAAUUUGAAGAACACUAGUAGAAAAAGUUUGAGGAAAUGGGAGAAAACAUUUUUAAAAGCGUAUAGUUAUAGAACCAUUCUGUGUAUAGUGGAACUGCCAAUACUAAAAAACAAAGCACAAAGCAAAAAAAAAAAACCGCUAUUCAUGGUAACCCUUAUUCCUAUCUGUUAGGUUAGCUUAAUUUUUUUUUGGUUUCAGUUUUGUCCAAUCUGAUUGUUUAUAAUUUCUUCUAGGCAAAAUUGGGGCAAAUUGCCCCUGCCAGGUUCUCUAAGGUGUGUGGACCAUGUCUGUGACAGAGGAAGUGCAUCAGGCUGUGCUCAAACCCAGCUGACACUUCUACUGCAGGCUCCUCUCCCCUCAACUUUUGUUGUUGUUGUUGUUGCUGUUGAAGAAUGAAAGUCGAAGAAUUCCCUGAGGGCUCCGCGGAUUAAGGAUCUGGCUUUGUCACUCCAGUGGCUUGGGUCACUGCUUUGGCAUGGCUUCGAUCCCUGGCCCAGGAAUUUCCACAGGCCGCAGACCUGGCCAAAAAAAAAGAGAAAGAAAAAGAAUUAAAGGCGAGUAGUGCCUUGUGGUACAUCUCUGUCGUUUCCACCUUCUGACAGCAGGUGAAAACUUCUUACCUGGUUAAGUCACCCUCGAUGGAGCUUAUGUGAUUCUGCACUUCUUGAACUUAGCCGGUUCUCUGACCUCCCUGCUCUGUGUGUGACUGUAUCACAUCCUAGAUGCCCUUGCUUUGACCUUGGGUUCUGAUGUAGUCAUAAACUACUUGAAGUCAGAGAUGCCAUCUCCCAUGUCUGUCUCGGGGUCCGUUGCAGGCUCAGUGAAGGAAUGAAGGAAGCAGUAAAUGAGCAGUCACCGGCGUUUGUUGAGAGCGCACUGUGUGCCAGGCACUGGUCUGAGUGCUUCUUGGGGUUCUCUCAUUUAUUGGAGCCUCAGGACGGCCCUUUGUGGUUGCCCAAAUGCCUCGUUAUGCCUUCUGAAGGUCCUGUGUUUGUGGGCAGUCUUGAAGCUUUGUGUCUGAUUAUCACUGCUGGAAGGUGUAAAAUCAUAGACUUAGACUUCUGGACCUGCUAAGUAACUCAAGGAUCAUGUUAUUGACAGCCAAGGAUGCAGAUGCAGAGGGAUUAAGAGGCCUGCCUGGCGUCACAUAGCUGCUCCGCUGCAGAGGGCGGGUGAAGAAUGCAGGUUUCCCCGAGCCCCAGACCAGUGUCCUCUUACUUGACAGCUCUCUGCUCUGCCCCCAGAGCCUGUCCUGUGGUUAGGUCCCCUUCCCUUCGAGGACGUUAGCAUCAGUGCAUGUCAACAUUGGGUGUUACUUAUAUUCACAUUAAGUCACUGUUAAUUCUAGGAAUAAAUCGUAAUAAUGCAUUAAUCAUAUUAAGAAAUGUUAAGCGUUCCCAUUGUGGCUCAGCAGUAAUGAAUCCGACUAGUAUCCUUUAAGACUCAGGGAUCCAACCUGCGUCCUCAUGGAUGCUAGUCAGAUUGGUUUCCACUGAGCCACACUGGAAACUCCAGUGCUGACAUGUUCUGAAGGCAGACAGGAUGGAUUCACGGGAGAGGUGACUGUGGAGUGUGAGGGAGAGGAAGGAGCCCAGGAGGACUUGGCGGGGGCCGGGAUCUGGCCUGAGCAUCUGGAAGAACAGACGGGCCAUUUUGUGAGGCAGGAAAGGCAGAAGGAAGAACUCCGCGGUACCCAGGUCCACCAGGGCAAAGAAUGUGUGCCACUGAGUCCGCUCCUGGCGGCCUCUCAGCCCUCCCACCACACCUGGUUUUCAUCAGAGCUCAUACUGUCCAGCCAGGUCCCAGUCACCUCGUGCUAACCUGUCACCAGCAUCAGCAUCAUCCUUUACGCCCCAGCCCUCAGGGCCUUCUUCCCUGGCCUCCACGGCACCCCGUGUGCUUCUCCUCCCUCAGCCUGGGGCAGAAAACAUCAAGGCAGCCGAUAGAAAGGAGUCCAGCUUUCCUCUUUUAUCAAAAUGUCUCUAGGAAGUCUGCAUUCCUAAAUACUCCCAAGAGUUGCCCUGGGCAGGCUCUGAGGGCCCUUGCCAAAGCCCUUUUGUGUUUCAUUUGUAUCGCCUGUGAAGGGCACUAGGCCACCUCUCAGUUAUUUACCCCGAUGCGAGAACAGAGCCAGAACAGAACCGUAGGGAGCAGAGCCACAUCCGUGGCCCGUACCCAAGUCGCUCGCCCUAUGACUCGACAGCAUCCGCAGAUAAUGGAAAGGUGUAUGUGUUGUUAGGAAUAAUGAGGGGAUGCGAGAUACCAGAUGCCCGGUGGAACACCACAGAGGAGAUUUCCUCUUGCCAACAGUCUUGCCAGGCCCGGGUCAAG